UGGGGAAUAUUGCACAAUGGGCGCAAGCCUGAUGCAGCCAUGCCGCGUGUGUGAAGAAGGCCUUCGGGUUGUAAAGCACUUUCAGCGGGGAGGAAGGCGUUAAGGUUAAUAACCUUGGCGAUUGACGUUACCCGCAGAAGAAGCACCGGCUAACUCCGUGCCAGCAGCCGCGGUAAUACGGAGGGUGCAAGCGUUAAUCGGAAUUACUGGGCGUAAAGCGCACGCAGGCGGUCUGUCAAGUCGGAUGUGAAAUCCCCGGGCUCAACCUGGGAACUGCAUUCGAAACUGGCAGGCUAGAGGCUUGUAGAGGGGGGUAGAAUUCCAGGUGUAGCGAUGAAAUGCGUAGAGAUCUGGAGGAAUACCGGUGGCGAAGGCGGCCCCCUGGACAAAGACUGACGCUCAGGUGCGAAAGCGUGGGGAGCAAACAGG
This 429-nucleotide ribosomal RNA is filed under the name Chloroflexota bacterium. RNAcentral describes it as "Chloroflexi bacterium partial 16S ribosomal RNA". It matches the Rfam family "Bacterial small subunit ribosomal RNA", at positions 355 to 776 of the family's 1533-position model. Lineage: Bacteria; Bacillati; Chloroflexota. The record is from RNAcentral.